Long non-coding RNA from Ailuropoda melanoleuca (giant panda), 699 nucleotides. RefSeq lists it as uncharacterized. Lineage: Eukaryota; Metazoa; Chordata; Mammalia; Carnivora; Ursidae. The record is from RefSeq and is a predicted model, not a curated record. The transcript is spliced from 6 exons.
GGGACCAGAAUCAUGUCUAGAUGCAGUUCAAGGAAACGGAAAUGGUACAGGACUGAGGCUGUGAAUUGAAUUAUAAGAAGGCCUCCCCCCAGAAGAGAGGAAAUUCCACAGCUCUGAGUUCGAGAAAUUAGGGCCUCAGAAUGCAUCUUACCAAAGUGAAAGAACUGGCGGGAAGUUUCCAGAAGUCCUUGUUGACGUCCCUUUCCUUCUGGUUUCAACAUUUCGUGAACGAUUUUGUGUUUGUGUGUGUGCAGUAAGAGGAAAGCUCCUGAGGUAUUCAGAAUAUCCUGUCCAUGGCAAGGUCUUCCCACAGUCGUGAAAGGCAUUCAAGUUUCCUAGGUGGACAGAGCAAUGAGAUCCCAAACGCACCGUCCUGCCCUUUCCGACCAUUUUGUUCACGAUUUACAGCUCCAGCCUCUUGGAUAUGUCAGAAGACAGGAAAAGAGAAAAGGAGCACACGGUCCAACUAUUAACUCACCGUCCUGGGCUUGGCGCAUUCUUAUGACCAGGGAGAAGGUGUCGAAGCUCAGGGCAGCCUUUUUACCUGCUGUGGGGAGAAAGCAGAGGGAACGGAGGGAUGAAGUAAGUUGCUGAUCACGUUAUCUUGAAGGAACCAAAAGAGCGUGGAUUCCAUAUCCAACACUCUGCUUCUUCGGUUUAUCUCAAUUCUUUCCUCUGCUGUUGCAAGAGACAAUCCAC